RNAcentral lists this ribosomal RNA (484 nucleotides) under uncultured bacterium. RNAcentral's name for it is "partial 16S ribosomal RNA". It matches the Rfam family "Bacterial small subunit ribosomal RNA", at positions 30 to 507 of the family's 1533-position model. The record is from RNAcentral.
AUUGAACGCUGGCGGCAGGCCUAACACAUGCAAGUCGAGCGGAUGAAGGGAGCUUGCUCCUGGAUUCAGCGGCGGACGGGUGAGUAAUGCCUAGGAAUCUGCCUGGUAGUGUGGGAUAACGUCCGGAAACGGGCGCUAAUACCGCAUACGUCCUGAGGGAGAAAGUGGGGGAUCUUCGGGCCUCACGCUAUCAGAUGAGCCUAGGUCGGAUUAGCUAGUUGGUGGGGUAAAGGCCUACCAAGGCGACGAUCCGUAACUGGUCUGAGAGGAUGAUCAGUCACACUGGAACUGAGACACGGUCCAGACUCCUACGGGAGGCAGCAGUGGGGAAUAUUGGACAAUGGGCGAAAGCCUGAUCCAGCCAUGCCGCGUGUGUGAAGAAGGUCUUCGGAUUGUAAAGCACUUUAAGUUGGGAGGAAGGGCAGUAAGUUAAUACCUUGCUGUUUUGACGUUACCAACAGAAUAAGCACCGGCUAACUUCGUG